Molecule: ribosomal RNA, 440 nt
Filed under: uncultured bacterium
Lineage: Bacteria
Description: partial 16S ribosomal RNA
Rfam family: Bacterial small subunit ribosomal RNA
Source: RNAcentral
CCUACGGGGGGCAGCAGUGGGGAAUAUUGCACAAUGGGGGAAACCCUGAUGCAGCGACGCCGCGUGAGUGAAGAAGUAAUUCGUUAUGUAAAGCUCUAUCAGCAGGGAAGAAAAUGACGGUACCUGAGUAAGAAGCCCCGGCUAACUACGUGCCAGCAGCCGCGGUAAUACGUAGGGGGCAAGCGUUAUCCGGAUUUACUGGGUGUAAAGGGAGCGUAGACGGUCCUGCAAGCCAGAUGUGAAAGCCCGGGGCUCAACCCCGGGACUGCAUUUGGAACUGUAAGGCUAGAGUGUCGGAGAGGCAGGCGGAAUUCCUAGUGUAGCGGUGAAAUGCGUAGAUAUUAGGAGGAACACCAGUGGCGAAGGCGGCCUGCUGGACGAUGACUGACGUUGAGGCUCGAAAGCGUGGGGAGCAAACAGGAUUAGAUACCCUUGUAGUC